UCCCGGUUGGCCCGGGCGGUCUCGCGUGAAAAGUUCAACACACGACAAGGGUUGCGCUCGUUGCGGGACUUAACCCAACAUCUCACGACACGAGCUGACGACGGCCAUGCAACAUCUGUCACCUAUCCAGCCGAACUGACGGCCUAGUUUCUUAGGCCUACGAUAGGGAUGUCAAGCCUGGGUAAGGUUCUACGCGUAUCAUCGUAUUAAACCACAUGCUCCACUGCUUGUGCGGAGCCCCGUCAAUUCCUUUGAGUUUCAGUCUUGCGACCGUACUCCCCAGGCGGAGUGCUUAAUGUGUUGACUUCGGCACAGCAGGGGUCGAUACCCGCUACACCAAGCACUCAUCGUUUACGGCGUGGACUAC
RNAcentral lists this unclassified non-coding RNA (367 nucleotides) under uncultured bacterium. RNAcentral's name for it is "contains 16S-23S intergenic spacer region". The record is from RNAcentral.